CCUCCUUCGGGAGGGUGCUGGCGACCGGCAAACGGGUGAGUAACACGUGGGUAACCUACCCCCAGGAGGGGGAUAACCCCGGGAAACCGGGGCUAAUACCCCAUAAAGCUAGGAGCCACAAAGGCUUCCUAGUUAAAGGGGGCCUCUGCUUGCAAGCUCCCGCCUGGGGAUGGGCCCGCGGCCUAUCAGGUAGUUGGUAGGGUAACGGCCUACCAAGCCUAUGACGGGUAGCCGGCCUGAGAGGGUAGCCGGCCACAGCGGGACUGAGACACGGCCCGCACCCCUACGGGGGGCAGCAGUGGGGAAUCGUGGGCAAUGGGCGAAAGCCUGACCCCGCGAUGCCGCGUGCGGGAAGAAGCCCUUCGGGGUGUAAACCGCUGUCAGGAGGGACGAAGGGACCGUGGGCUAAUACCUCACGGUCUUGACGGUACCUCCAGAGGAAGGGACGGCUAACUACGUGCCAGCAGCCGCGGUAAUACGUAGGUCCCGAGCGUUGCGCGGAGUCACUGGGCGUAAAGCGUCCGCAGCCGGCUCCGUAAGCGGGAUGUCAAAGCCCGCCGCUUAACGGCGGAACGGCAUCCUGAACUGCGGAGCUUGAGGCACGCCCGGGCAGGCGGAAUUCCCGGGGUAGCGGUGAAAUGCGUAGAUCUCGGG
Molecule: ribosomal RNA, 654 nt
Filed under: Hydrogenivirga sp. Lau-10
Lineage: Bacteria; Pseudomonadati; Aquificota; Aquificia; Aquificales; Aquificaceae
Description: bacterial SSU rRNA
Rfam family: Bacterial small subunit ribosomal RNA
Source: RNAcentral